UACGUAGGUGGCAAGCGUUAUCCGGAAUUAUUGGGCGUAAAGCGCGCGCAGGUGGUUUCUUAAGUCUGAUGUGAAAGCCCCCGGCUCAACCGGGGAGGGUCAUUGGAAACUGGAGAACUUGAGUGCAGAAGAGGAGAGUGGAAUUCCACGUGUAGCGGUGAAAUGCGUAGAUAUGUGGAGGAACACCAGUGGCGAAGGCGACUCUCUGGUCUGUAACUGACGCUGAGGCUCGAAAGCGUGGGGAGCAAACAGG
RNAcentral lists this ribosomal RNA (253 nucleotides) under uncultured microorganism. RNAcentral's name for it is "partial 16S ribosomal RNA". It matches the Rfam family "Bacterial small subunit ribosomal RNA", at positions 524 to 776 of the family's 1533-position model. The record is from RNAcentral.